RNAcentral lists this ribosomal RNA (253 nucleotides) under uncultured bacterium. RNAcentral describes it as "partial 16S ribosomal RNA". It matches the Rfam family "Bacterial small subunit ribosomal RNA", at positions 524 to 776 of the family's 1533-position model. The record is from RNAcentral.
UACGUAGGGGGCUAGCGUUGUCCGGAAUCAUUGGGCGUAAAGAGCGUGUAGGCGGUCCGGUAAGUCCGCUGUGAAAGUCGGGGGCUCAACCCUCGAAUGCCGGUGGAUACUGUCGGGCUAGAGUGCGGAAGAGGCGAGUGGAAUUCCUGGUGUAGCGGUGAAAUGCGCAGAUAUCAGGAGGAACACCUAUUGCGAAGGCGGGUCUCUGGGCCGAUACUGACGCUGAGGAGCGAAAGCGUGGGGAGCGAACAGG